This is a long non-coding RNA of Vigna radiata var. radiata (mung bean), 237 nucleotides long. RefSeq lists it as uncharacterized. The record is from RefSeq and is a predicted model, not a curated record. The transcript is spliced from 3 exons. NCBI's taxonomy places the organism in Eukaryota, Viridiplantae, Streptophyta, Magnoliopsida, Fabales, Fabaceae.
CAAAGGACGUUCUGAAACAAGCACUACAGGAAAAGAACGAUAGUUGUCCAAGCUUUAAGGACUUGAGCAUUAUGUGGUGGUGUCUAAAUUCCACACCGAGUUGGUAAUCCUUGGAUGAGGGAUAACAGCCCACCACUCCCUUUAAAUAGAUAUAUUAGUUUAUAAACUUGUGAAUGCUUAUCUUCUUGUAACACCACUCAAACGUGCAGCAGUGAAGGUAUUAUUUAAUUCUUUUCA